RNAcentral lists this ribosomal RNA (465 nucleotides) under uncultured bacterium. RNAcentral describes it as "bacterial SSU rRNA". It matches the Rfam family "Bacterial small subunit ribosomal RNA", at positions 338 to 795 of the family's 1533-position model. The record is from RNAcentral.
CCUACGGGGUGCACCAGUGGGGAAUAUUGCACAAUGGGCGCAAGCCUAAUGCAGCCAUGCCGCGUGUAUGAAGAAGGCCUUCGGGUUGUAAAGUACUUUCAGUCGGGAGGAAGGUGGUGAGCUUAAUACGCUCAUCAAUUGACGUUACCGACAGAAGAAGCACCGGCUAACUCCGUGCCAGCAGCAGCGGUAAUACGGAGGGUGCAAGCGUUAAUCGGAAUUACUGGGCGUAAAGCGCACGCAGGCGGUUGAUUGAGUCAGAUGUGAAAUCCCCGGGCUUAACCCGGGAAUUGCAUCUGAUACUGGUCAGCUAGAGUCUUGUAGAGGGGGGUAGAAUUCCAUGUGUAGCGGUGAAAUGCGUAGAGAUGUGGAGGAACACCAGUGGCGAAGGCGACUCUCUGGUCUGUAACUGACGCUGAGGCUCGAAAGCGUGGGGAGCAAACAGGAUUAGAUACCCCGGUAGUC